CGGGAUGUAGCUCAGCCCGGUAGAGUACGCGUCUGGGGGGCGUGUGGUCGCAAGUUCAAAUCUUGUCAUCCCGA
This 74-nucleotide transfer RNA is filed under the name Prevotellaceae bacterium. RNAcentral's name for it is "tRNA-Pro". It matches the Rfam family "tRNA". From Rfam's summary of the family: Transfer RNA (tRNA) molecules are approximately 80 nucleotides in length. Their secondary structure includes four short double-helical elements and three loops (D, anti-codon, and T loops). The record is from RNAcentral. RNAcentral also lists the same sequence under 1 other name. Lineage: Bacteria; Pseudomonadati; Bacteroidota; Bacteroidia; Bacteroidales; Prevotellaceae.